This 906-nucleotide ribosomal RNA is filed under the name Halorubrum sp. Its description in RNAcentral is "bacterial SSU rRNA". It matches the Rfam family "Archaeal small subunit ribosomal RNA", at positions 50 to 956 of the family's 1478-position model. The record is from RNAcentral. Lineage: Archaea; Methanobacteriati; Methanobacteriota; Halobacteria; Halobacteriales; Haloferacaceae.
CAUGCUAGUCGCACGAGUUCAGACUCGUGGCGAAUAGCUCAGUAACACGUGGCCAAACUACCCUUCGGAGCUCCAUACCCUCGGGAAACUGAGGCUAAUAGAGCAUACCACAAUCCAGCUGGAAUGAGGAUUGUGUCAAACGCUCCGGCGCCGAAGGAUGUGGCUGCGGCCGAUUAGGUAGACGGUGGGGUAACGGCCCACCGUGCCAAUAAUCGGUACGGGUCAUGAGAGUGAGAACCCGGAGACGGAAUCUGAGACAAGAUUCCGGGCCCUACGGGGCGCAGCAGGCGCGAAACCUUUACACUGCACGCCAGUGCGAUAAGGGGAUCCCAAGUGCGCAGGCAUAGAGCCUGCGCUUUUGUACACCGUAGGGAGGUGUACGAAUAAGGGCUGGGCAAGACCGGUGCCAGCCGCCGCGGUAAUACCGGCAGCCCGAGUGAUGGCCGAUUUUAUUGGGCCUAAAGCGUCCGUAGCUGGCCGCGCAAGUCCAUCGGAAAAUCCACCCGCCCAACGGGUGGGCGUCCGGUGGAAACUGCGUGGCUUGGGACCGGAAGGCGCGACGGGUACGUCCGGGGUAGGAGUGAAAUCCCGUAAUCCUGGACGGACCGCCGAUGGCGAAAGCACGUCGCGAGGACGGAUCCGACAGUGAGGGACGAAAGCCAGGGUCUCGAACCGGAUUAGAUACCCGGGUAGUCCUGGCCGUAAACAAUGUCUGUUAGGUGUGGCUCCCACUACGAGUGGGUGCUGUGCCGUAGGGAAGCCGCUAAACAGACCGCCUGGGAAGUACGUCCGCAAGGAUGAAACUUAAAGGAAUUGGCGGGGGAGCACUACAACCGGAGGAGCCUGCGGUUUAAUUGGACUCAACGCCGGACAUCUCACCAGCAUCGACUGUAGUAAUGACGAUCA